Long non-coding RNA from Oncorhynchus tshawytscha (Chinook salmon), 414 nucleotides. The record is from Ensembl. Lineage: Eukaryota; Metazoa; Chordata; Actinopteri; Salmoniformes; Salmonidae.
UAAGGUCAGGGUUAAGGUCAGGGUUAAGGUCAGGGUUAAGGUAAGGGUUAAGGAAAGGGUUAAGGUCAGGGUUAAGGUCAGGGUUAAGGAAAGGGUUAAGGUCAAGGUAAGGGUUAAGGUAAGGGUUAAGGUCAGGGUUAAAGGAAGGGGUUAAGGUCAGGGUUAAGGUCAGGGUUAAGGUAAGGGUUAAGGUCAAGGUCAAGGUAAGGGUUAAGGUCAGGGUUAAGGAAAGGGUUAAGGUCAAGGUCAGGGUCAGGGUCAAGGUCAGGGUUAACGUAAGGGAUAAGGUAAAAACUAAAAUGUGUGCCAAGCACUGGAAUUGAACACCCUCGGCUCACCCUCGGAAACUCGCGGCUUACUUCCAUCCUGUCCACAACUCCCUAGCAAACCCAAGCCUACUUGAUGGUAAUAGCG